AGAGGAGCGAAAUUGGUUGGAGUAUGGAGACAGAUUUCUAUAUUCGACGAGAAAAAAAAAUACAAACAACCAUGCGAGAAGUGCAUAAGUAAUCGUAUCUUCAAGUCAGCCCAAUCUUUGAAAUGUGUACGUACACUAGCAUAAUUAUGAAUAUCAGUACUACACAAUUUAAUAUUGUGUAAAUAUUGGAUGUCAAAUAUAUUGUUCAUGUUCAAGUUCUCGUCAAUGUAACUCUGGCGUAUAAAAUAAUAUUGAAAAUGGAAAAAAGGUUUGAGACGAAAGAGGCCUAAAACUGGCUUAAAUGUAUAAGUGCAACAUGUACGACCAGGGACGUAAUUGCACAAUUAGCCGAACUCGGAUUUAAAGCAUUUUACACGGAUAUACGACAGGAUAUGCUUGCAAAACACGGUAUACUUGAAACAAAGAAGUGUAGAUGUUGUAGUGAUUUCUCAAAACAGUGCCGCCUGUGUUCAGAAAUAGGUAAUUGCAUUUGGUACUACCAUCGUUUUAAACAGACACAUUUAAAAGGCCCAUCAUGGAGAAAUACGGACAUGCCUCCCACGGGUUACAAGAAUAAACCAAGUGCUGACAAAACAGAUUUCAGCGGGAUAAUAAGUGCUUUAAUCAACUGUACCUGGAUGCAGAAUUACUUUACAGAUGAUCUUAGCCUGAAUACUAAUAUCUGCAUGGAGGCGCGAGAAGAAGUAAACGCACUACGGCACAUACAUGGCACAAACAUAGAUGAAGGUGAAAUGAUCAGCCUCUUCAAUUCUCUUUUAACUCUUCUUAAUGAUCCUGCAUACCUGAACAGCUUUAAACCAGCAGAUGAAGCAAGAACAUACCUUACUCAGGUUAUGUCCGUUAUUCCUCAAAUAACAUUGAAGAACCAAGAACUUAUCAAUUACAUGGUUUUUUAGUCAUUAUGUAAAUAACUAACAAAAUACGAACCAUUUAGGGAGUUGCAUGCUAGUUGACUAGUAUUAUUAUGCCCCUCUUUGAAGAAGAGGGGAUAUAUUGUUUUGCACAUGUCGGUCAGUCCGUCCGUCAGUCCGUCCACCGAAUGGUUUCCGGAUGAUAACUCAAGAACGCUUACGCCUAGGAUCAUGAAACUUCAUAGGUACAUUGAUCAUGACUCGCAGAUGACACCUAUUGAUUUUCAGGUCACUAGGUAAAGGUCAAGGUUACGGUGACUAGAACCAGUGAAAUGGUUUCCGGAUGAUAACUCAAGAACUUUUAUGCCUAAUAUCAUGAAACUUCAUAGGUACAUUGAUCAUGACUUGCAGAUGACCCCUAUUGAUUUUCAGGUCACUUGGUCAAAGGUCACGGUGACUCGAGCCAGUAAAAUGGUUUCCAGAUGAUAACUCAAGAACGCUUACUCCUAGGAUCAUGAAACUUCAUAGAUACAUUGAUUAUGACUCGCAGAUGACCCCUAUUGAUUUUCAGGUCACUAGGUCAAAGGUAAAGGUCACGGUGACUCGAACCAGUAAUAUGGUUUACGGAUAAUAACUCAAGAACGCUUACACCUAGGAUCAUGAAAGUUCAUAUGAACAUUGAUCAUGAUUCGCAGAUGACCCCUAUUGAUUUUCAGGUCACUAGGUCAAAGGUCAAGGUCACAGUGACUAGAAAUAGUAAAAUGGUUUCUGGAUGAUGACUCAAGAUGCUUAGGCCUAGGAUCAUGAAACUUCAUAGGUACAUUUAUAAUGACUCGCAGAUGACCCCUAUUGAUUUUCAGGUCACUAACUCAAAGGUCAAGGUCACAGUGACUCGAAAUAGUAAAAUGAUUCCCGGAUGAUAACUCAAGAAUGCUUAUGCCUAGGAUCAUGAAACUUCAUAGGUAUAUUGAUCAUGACUGACAGAUGACCCCUAUUAAUUUUCAGGUCACUAGGUCAAAGAUCAAGGUCACAGUGACUCGAAACAGUAAAAUGGUUUACGGAUGAUAACUCAAGAAUAUUUAGGCCUAGGAUCAUGAAACUUCAUAGGUAAAUUGAUCAUGACUGGCAGAUGACCUCUAUUGAUUUUCAGGUCGCUAGGUCAAAUGUCAAGGUCACAAAGACAAAAAACGUAUUCACACAAUGGCUGCCACUACAACUGACAGCCCAUAUGGGGGGCAUGCAUAUUUUACAAACAGCUCUUGCUGAUUUAGUCUUCAAUUCUAUAAAUAACAAAUAAUUCUAAAAGGUUUGAUCUUCCUUAUGUGGUUAGAGAUGUGAUAAAAUUACAUACAACCUAACUUUUUUAAAUAAGUUUGCCCGGCUUUAUCUAAUUUAAAGAAAAAUUUUCUUUGUAUUACAGCCAAUAAAAAGAAGAGAACACAUAGCUUAUUAAGAUUUAUAAACUUGUCAAAGAGGUGUCAACUCCCAUUUCCUUUUUGCAUUCACAUUUGGUUUAUAAAUAAUUUGAAAUUCGAGGAGUGUUUGUAU
Dreissena polymorpha is the source of this 2420-nucleotide long non-coding RNA. RefSeq lists it as uncharacterized. NCBI's taxonomy places the organism in Eukaryota, Metazoa, Mollusca, Bivalvia, Myida, Dreissenidae. The record is from RefSeq and is a predicted model, not a curated record. The transcript has 3 exons.